GGGGUUGUGGCUCAGCGGUAGAGCGCUCACCUCGCAUGUGCGAGACCCUGGGUUUGAUCCUCAGUACCACA
This 71-nucleotide transfer RNA is filed under the name Marmota monax (woodchuck). RNAcentral describes it as "tRNA.Ala". It matches the Rfam family "tRNA". From Rfam's summary of the family: Transfer RNA (tRNA) molecules are approximately 80 nucleotides in length. Their secondary structure includes four short double-helical elements and three loops (D, anti-codon, and T loops). The record is from RNAcentral. Lineage: Eukaryota; Metazoa; Chordata; Mammalia; Rodentia; Sciuridae.